Molecule: ribosomal RNA, 609 nt
Filed under: Saccharomyces cerevisiae (brewer's yeast)
Lineage: Eukaryota; Fungi; Ascomycota; Saccharomycetes; Saccharomycetales; Saccharomycetaceae
Description: eukaryotic LSU rRNA
Rfam family: Eukaryotic large subunit ribosomal RNA
Source: RNAcentral
AAAUCGGAGGAAAAGAAACCAACCGGGAUUGCCUUAGUAACGGCGAGUGAAGCGGCAAAAGCUCAAAUUUGAAAUCUGGUACCUUCGGUGCCCGAGUUGUAAUUUGGAGAGGGCAACUUUGGGGCCGUUCCUUGUCUAUGUUCCUUGGAACAGGACGUCAUAGAGGGUGAGAAUCCCGUGUGGCGAGGAGUGCGGUUCUUUGUAAAGUGCCUUCGAAGAGUCGAGUUGUUUGGGAAUGCAGCUCUAAGUGGGUGGUAAAUUCCAUCUAAAGCUAAAUAUUGGCGAGAGACCGAUAGCGAACAAGUACAGUGAUGGAAAGAUGAAAAGAACUUUGAAAAGAGAGUGAAAAAGUACGUGAAAUUGUUGAAAGGGAAGGGCAUUUGAUCAGACAUGGUGUUUUGUGCCCUCUGCUCCUUGUGGGUAGGGGAAUCUCGCAUUUCACUGGGCCAGCAUCAGUUUUGGUGGCAGGAUAAAUCCAUAGGAAUGUAGCUUGCCUCGGUAAGUAUUAUAGCCUGUGGGAAUACUGCCAGCUGGGACUGAGGACUGCGACGUAAGUCAAGGAUGCUGGCAUAAUGGUUAUAUGCCGCCCGUCUUGAACCCACGGGACCA